Peromyscus eremicus (cactus mouse) is the source of this 309-nucleotide long non-coding RNA. RefSeq lists it as uncharacterized. The transcript is spliced from 2 exons. The record is from RefSeq and is a predicted model, not a curated record. Lineage: Eukaryota; Metazoa; Chordata; Mammalia; Rodentia; Cricetidae.
CCCCGCAGCCCCCCCCUCCCGACACCACCGUGCCGCGACAGCGCCCCCGUGUGUCGGGAGGCCGCUCAGCGGGCCGCGGGCUGCCUAGGAGACUUCACAGUGGACAGGAGCGCGCCCGCCCGCCCUGGUGCACACAUCAGAGCGUUGGCUUCGAAUCAGAGACAGCAAAUCCAUGUUCAAGUGGUGCUUUGAACAGUACUUAGCCCUCCGACCUCUCUGGCCCUGGGUUCCUUCAUGUGCAAAAUGGGAAUAAUGAUAUGAUCUACUUCAAAACGUUAGUAGCAUUAAAUAAACAUAACUCCGGGCAUG